GAAUAGCCCCGAUUGAAGCGGUAUCCUUUUACACAGCUUCUAGUCUUUAAAAGGUUGGAAGCUUUAUAAAAGAUAAAGCGGAAAGCGGGACUACUA
RNAcentral lists this small RNA (96 nucleotides) under Flavobacterium segetis. Its description in RNAcentral is "Flavo-1 RNA". It matches the Rfam family "Flavo-1 RNA". The record is from RNAcentral. Lineage: Bacteria; Pseudomonadati; Bacteroidota; Flavobacteriia; Flavobacteriales; Flavobacteriaceae.